GGAGGGAUCGCAUAGAGGUCUAGUGCGGCCGCCUGCUAAGCGGUUGCUCCGAGUAAUCGGGGUCGCGGGUUCGAAUCCCGCUCCCUCCGCCA
Molecule: transfer RNA, 92 nt
Filed under: Dehalococcoidia bacterium
Lineage: Bacteria; Bacillati; Chloroflexota; Dehalococcoidia
Description: tRNA-Ser
Rfam family: tRNA
About the family: Transfer RNA (tRNA) molecules are approximately 80 nucleotides in length. Their secondary structure includes four short double-helical elements and three loops (D, anti-codon, and T loops). Further hydrogen bonds mediate the characteristic L-shaped molecular structure. tRNAs have two regions of fundamental functional importance: the anti-codon, which is responsible for specific mRNA codon recognition, and the 3' end, to which the tRNAs corresponding amino acid is attached (by aminoacyl-tRNA synthetases). tRNAs cope with the degeneracy of the genetic code in two manners: having more than one tRNA (with a specific anti-codon) for a particular amino acid; and 'wobble' base-pairing, i.e. permitting non-standard base-pairing at the 3rd anti-codon position.
Source: RNAcentral